Non-coding RNA from Paramuricea clavata, 421 nucleotides. The record is from the annotation of a GenBank genome assembly. NCBI's taxonomy places the organism in Eukaryota, Metazoa, Cnidaria, Anthozoa, Malacalcyonacea, Plexauridae.
CUAAAUCUUGCUUUGCAAUUUUGGAAUUAUUGCAUUUUUUUUUAAACUAUGCAAGUUAAUUACCUGUAAAGAAUAAUUCACUUUUUAGCUGGUCAUUCUCCUGUGCAGAUGGUGGCAUCCAUUCCAGGCCACCAAGCAGCAGCCGGUCGUGUCCUUACUGCGGUCAACAUUCCUCAGAAACAUGCAAUUGGCCAACGACCCAUAGCUCCGCAUGGCAUCGCAAUACAACAGACAGCCCAAGGAACUCCAAUGGUGAUCCAGGUUACGUCUGCAACAACACCGCAAGGCAAGCCAACUUUGGUCCAAGCUGCAGCAGUAAAAAGUGCUGCCUCUGGUGCUACACUUGUACCACAGAGUGGAAGUAAUGAGAGCUUGAAAGCCCCCAUCUCUGCUGCACCAAAGAUGGCCCAAGGAAGCCAAG